Molecule: ribosomal RNA, 465 nt
Filed under: uncultured bacterium
Lineage: Bacteria
Description: bacterial SSU rRNA
Rfam family: Bacterial small subunit ribosomal RNA
Source: RNAcentral
CAGGCUCAGGACGAACGCUGGCGGCGUGCUUAACACAUGCAAGUCGAGCGAUGAAGUUCCUUCGGGAAUGGAUUAGCGGCGGACGGGUGAGUAACACGUGGGUAACCUGCCUCAUAGAGGGGAAUAGCCUUCCGAAAGGAAGAUUAAUACCGCAUAAGAUUGUAGUACCGCAUGGUAUAGCAAUUAAAGGAGUAAUCCGCUAUGAGAUGGACCCGCGUCGCAUUAGCUAGUUGGUGAGGUAACGGCUCACCAAGGCGACGAUGCGUAGCCGACCUGAGAGGGUGAUCGGCCACAUUGGGACUGAGACACGGCCCAGACUCCUACGGGAGGCAGCAGUGGGGAAUAUUGCACAAUGGGGGAAACCCUGAUGCAGCAACGCCGCGUGAGUGAUGACGGUCUUCGGAUUGUAAAACUCUGUCUUCAGGGACGAUAAUGACGGUACCUGAGGAGGAAGCCACGGCUAAC